CCUGAAUUCAAGCAAUUCUCCUGCCUCAGCCACCCAAGUAGCUGGGAUUACAUGCUGUGUCUUCUUUUUACAUCAAAAGGGAAGGGCAGUACAUACACAUGCUUCCCAAGACUCCCAAUCCAAUGAGCGUCAGAAGGCACAGAACAGUCAGAAACAACGCUGCUGGACGCCAUACACGAGAGGGAGCUGGAGGUGCUGUGGAAAGCAAAAUUAACAGAGAGGCCUAAAAAUGAUGGGGAAGUGAGUUGUGAAGUGGUUAAGUUUGUAUCCAACAUCACACAAUUGGUGAGUGGUAGAGUUCAGACUGGACCAAAGUCUCCGGUUACCUUGUUCAAAUACGUGCACAGGCUCUAAUGCCUCCCCUGGUGGGAAAGACUAGCCCUCUGCUUUUCCUAGGUGGAUCAAAUAUUUGUACAUAAAUAUUUGUUUAUAAAUAUCUCUUUGUUUGUGAAAGGAUGGAAACCGGCCACCACACAGGCAGAGUCUCGUUCUGUGUUAUAUUGCUCUGUUGUUUCAUGUGGAAGAUGGUUUCAUCAAUCAACACUAGAAGAUGAAGAGUAUGUGAUGAAUUGUAAGAGGAAACAAAUGAAAAAUCUCAAAGUCCUGUUUGCAAGGUACUCUAUUUUGUUGAAAAUAUUUGAAUAACUAUUACUUCAUACAAAAUCCUUGGUUUAGAGCCAGCUAAAACAUUUAUAUGCACAUGAAUAAGCUGAGAUCUGAGAUGAUUUAAUGGUUUGCCCUUCACAGCCUAUAUCAGUUUUUUUUUUUAAAUUUUGUUAUUGAUAUACAAUAGUUGUACAUAUUUUAGAGGUACAUGUGAUAUUUUGAAACCUGUAUACAGUGUGUGAUGACCAAAUCAGGGUAAUAAAAAUAUUCAUUCCCUCAAACACUUACCUUUUCCUUCUGUUGGGAAUACUACAAUUCUUCUCUUUUAGCUAUUUUGAAAUAUACAAUAAAUUAUUGUUAACUAUAGUUUUCCCACUGUACUAUCAAAUACUAGAAUUUGUUCCUUCUGUCUAAUUUUAUUUUUGUACCCAACCAACUUAUCUUUAUCCCCCACCACCCCUUUCCAAGCAUCUGGUAACCACAAUUCUACUCUUUGCCUCCAUGAGAUUCAUUCUUUUAGCUCUCACAUAUGAGUGGGAACAUGUGAUAUUUGUCUUUCUGUGCAUGGCUUAUUUCAGUUAACAUAACGAUCUUCGGUUCCACUCAUGUUUCUGCAAAUGACAGGAAUUUAUUUCUUUUUUAUGGUUGAAUAAUAUUCCAUUAUGCAUAUAUACUACAGAUACCUGCACUCCCACGUUUAUUGCAGCAUUUUUUGCAAUAGAAGAGAUAUGAAAUCAACCUAUAUCAAUUUUCAUUCCAGUUGAAUACUAAGAGACAAUCUGCAAAUAUAAUUACAAAUGUCUUCCAAUAUUAAACAUAAGUGAUACAUUAUCCAUUACCUAAAUUAUAUAUUUUUUGUGGGUUGUUAUAAUGGAAAAAAGAGAAAGAAAUGAAGAUAGGUGAAGAAAAGUGCACAGGGAUAAAAAGUUGGAGACACACACCUUCAGAGUCACAUCAUUUAAAAGGUGAGAGACCAUAGUGACAGUGAUAUACUCAGGUACAAAAAGGAAACACACACUUGGGAUCCAAAAACCAAAAAACAGGUUAUACAUUAAAAGGAAAAUUUAAGAAGAUAAAAUAACAAGACAACUUACAAGAUGUAGCUAAGACCAAAGGAAACCAAUGAGGGAUAGUGAAAUACCCCAGGGCUAGCUACUGUGAGAAGCCAUUACUACCAUUAGGCCUGAGAGAACAAUGCUGGUAGCAAUUAACUGAAGCAGCAGAAAGUACAGCUGAUGAAGGCUGCCUCCCCGGAGGUACACUCAGUGAGAACAACUUCAUAUCCAUUUCCUAGUGCUGUAGGGAAGGAUUCUCCCACCUUUAAAUCUUUGCCUAUUCUUCCUAUUGGUACCAACAUAUCUAGAGCUUCAGGACAAUAGUGUCCAGGGAUAUUAUACGUGAGAGUCAGCAUCCUAGGGCACUGCAAAGGGAUUAGAAUGGUGAAUAGUAGAUCUACUGAUAUCAUUAUCUGAACCGUAUGUAGGUCAGUUUUUAUCAUUUGAUUUGUCAAUUGGUGUUUUGAUAUUUAGUUCUUUUUCUUUUUAGGUUGUUUCAUAAUUUUUAAUUAAAUGACAGGCUUUAUGUAUUAAAAACAGAGAUUUUAAAUGAUCUUCCUACCAAAAAGUUUUGUUUCUUUUUUUCUGGCAGUCACAUAGAAUAUAAGCAGUAAACCUUGAUUAAUUGGAGCCCCUCAAAUUUUGCCUUCUCAGUUGUUUUAUAUGUUUUAUCCACAUUUUAUAAUUAUCUUUUUGUAGGUUUCUUUCAUCUGAUACAAGCUGCAGUGCUAUGACUAGAAUUGGCUUUAUUCUGGGUUUGUUCUCCAGCAAACUAAAAUUGAGAGGUUAUUCGGUGAGGAAGGAAUGUAGCUACGUGCAGGCAGAAAUGUAGCUAUGUGCAGGCAGAAAUGUAGCUGUGUUGGGGAGGUAAACCAAAAAUGAAAUUCUAAGGCCCCCCAGCCAUCUGAAUGGACUUCCUCUUCAACUAGGGCUGUUUGAAAAUUUAACCCAGAGAGACGGGUUCAGGCCAUGACAGGAAGUGGGUGUCCAACUGAGAGACGGGUUCAGGCCAUGACAGGAAGUGGGUGUCGAACAUGUUUCAUUAUAGCUCUCAGGUAUCAAUACUUACAGUCUAUUCUCUCUCAAGUCUGCUAUCUGGAGACUUCAUUUGCAUGAUAAAACCUUGACUUCUACAAGCUCUUAUCACAACCCAGACAUUUCCUUUCUAUUGAUUCCAGGUCUUUAGAUAAACUCAACCAAUUACCAAUCAGUAAAUGUUUAUAGUUAAUUGAAGUCUCAUGUCUCCCUCAAAUGUUCGAAACCAGUGUGUACCUGAACCACCUUGGGCGCAUGUGCGCAGGGCCUCCUGAGGGCUGUGUCAUGGGCAUAGUCUCACAUAUUUGGCUCAGAAUAAAUCUCUUUAAAUAUUUUAACAAAGUUUGACACUACAUGGACGGGGGAAAAUCGAAAUUAGGCAGAGGUAAGGAAAAAAUCAUGCUGACUGAAGGAUCUGUAGUCUCAUUUUCUGGGUAUGGUGCUCUGAUGAGUUUCAGUUCCUUGCCUGAAAGUCGGUUUCCUGAGGAAGAAUCUCAGGAAAGCAAAUAAGUUUUGUUUAUUUUUGUUUGUUUGUUUGUUUUUGGUUUUGUUUUUUGUU
Molecule: long non-coding RNA, 3255 nt
Organism: Cercocebus atys (sooty mangabey)
Lineage: Eukaryota; Metazoa; Chordata; Mammalia; Primates; Cercopithecidae
Exons: 3
Source: RefSeq, a predicted model, not a curated record